UCCCCAGUAGCUCAAUUGGCUAGAGCGUCCGCUUGAUAAGCGGAAGGUUGUUGGUUCAAUUCCAAUCUGGGGGA
RNAcentral lists this transfer RNA (74 nucleotides) under Cyanomargarita calcarea. RNAcentral describes it as "tRNA-Ile". It matches the Rfam family "tRNA". Rfam says of the family: Transfer RNA (tRNA) molecules are approximately 80 nucleotides in length. The record is from RNAcentral. RNAcentral also lists the same sequence under 1 other name. Lineage: Bacteria; Bacillati; Cyanobacteriota; Cyanophyceae; Nostocales; Cyanomargaritaceae.